GAUGAACGCUGGCGGCGUGCCUAAUACAUGCAAGUCGAGCGAACAGACGAGGAGCUUGCUCCUCUGACGUUAGCGGCGGACGGGUGAGUAACACGUGGAUAACCUACCUAUAAGACUGGGAUAACUUCGGGAAACCGGAGCUAAUACCGGAUAAUAUAUUGAACCGCAUGGUUCAAUAGUGAAAGACGGUUUUGCUGUCACUUAUAGAUGGAUCCGCGCCGCAUUAGCUAGUUGGUAAGGUAACGGCUUACCAAGGCGACGAUGCGUAGCCGACCUGAGAGGGUGAUAGGCCACACUGGAACUGAGACAGGGUCCAGACUCCUACGGGAGGCAGCAGUAGGGAAUCUUCCGCAAUGGGCGAAAGCCUGACGGAGCAACGCCGCGUGAGUGAUGAAGGUCUUCGGAUCGUAAAACUCUGUUAUUAGGGAAGAACAAAUGUGUAAGUAACUAUGCACGUCUUGACGGUACCUAAUCAGAAAGCCACGGCUAACUACGUG
This 497-nucleotide ribosomal RNA is filed under the name uncultured bacterium. Its description in RNAcentral is "partial 16S ribosomal RNA". It matches the Rfam family "Bacterial small subunit ribosomal RNA", at positions 28 to 507 of the family's 1533-position model. The record is from RNAcentral.